RNAcentral lists this ribosomal RNA (449 nucleotides) under uncultured bacterium. Its description in RNAcentral is "partial 16S ribosomal RNA". It matches the Rfam family "Bacterial small subunit ribosomal RNA", at positions 29 to 523 of the family's 1533-position model. The record is from RNAcentral.
AACGAACGCUGGCGGCAGGCCUAACACAUGCAAGUCGAACGCCCUAGCAAUAGGGAGUGGCAGACGGGUGAGUAACACGUGGGAACGUGCCCUUCGGUUCGGAAUAACUCAGGGAAACUUGAGCUAAUACCGGAUAAGUGCGAGAGCAGAAAGAUUUAUCGCCGAAGGAUCGGCCCGCGUCCGAUUAGCUAGUUGGUGAGGUAAAGGCUCACCAAGGCGACGAUCGGUAGCUGGUCUGAGAGGAUGACCAGCCACACUGGGACUGAGACACGGCCCAGACUCCUACGAGAGGCAGCAGUGGGGAAUAUUGGACAAUGGGCGCAAGCCUGAUCCAGCCAUGCCGCGUGAGUGAUGAAGGCCCUAGGGUUGUAAAGCUCUUUCGCCAGGGACGAUAAUGACGGUACCUGGAUAAGAAGCCCCGGCUAACUUCGUGCCAGCCGCCGCCGCGG